AGAGUUUGAUCCUGGCUCAGAGCGAACGCUGGCGGCAGGCUUAACACAUGCAAGUCGAACGCCAUCUUCGGAUGGAGUGGCAGACGGGUGAGUAACGCGUGGGAACGUACCCUUUGGUUCGGAAUAUUCUCGGGAAACUGGGAGCAAUACCGGAUAAGCCCUACGGGGGAAAGAUUUAUCGUCAAAGGAGCGGCCCGCGUCAGAUUAGGUAGUUGGUGGGGUAAAGGCCUACCAAGCCUACGAUCUGUAGCUGGUCUGAGAGGAUGAUCAGCCACACUGGGACUGAGACACGGCCCAGACUCCUACGGGAGGCAGCAGUGGGGAAUCUUGGACAAUGGGCGCAAGCCUGAUCCAGCCAUGCCGCGUGGAUGAUGAAGGCCUUAGGGUUGUAAAAUCCUUUCAACGGGGACGAUAAUGACGGUACCCGUAGAAGAAGCCCCGGCUAACUUCGUGCCAGCAGCCGCGGUAAUACGAAGGGGGCUAGCGUUGCUCGGAAUUACUGGGCGUAAAGCGCACGUAGGCGGAUAUUUAAGUCGGAGGUGAAAGCCCAGGG
Molecule: ribosomal RNA, 553 nt
Filed under: uncultured freshwater bacterium
Lineage: Bacteria
Description: bacterial SSU rRNA
Rfam family: Bacterial small subunit ribosomal RNA
Source: RNAcentral